RNAcentral lists this unclassified non-coding RNA (369 nucleotides) under soil metagenome. Its description in RNAcentral is "partial contains 5.8S ribosomal RNA, internal transcribed spacer 2, and large subunit ribosomal RNA". The stretch from base 4 to 119 matches the Rfam family "5.8S ribosomal RNA", at positions 39 to 154 of the family's 154-position model. The record is from RNAcentral.
GAUAAGAACGUAGCGAAAUGCGAUAAGUAAUGUGAAUUGCAGAAUUCAGUGAACCAUCGAAUCUUUGAACGCACAUUGCGCCCGGCAGUAAUCUGCCGGGCAUGCCUGUCCGAGCGUCAUUUCUACCCUCGAGCGAGUCCAGCAUCUAGGUGCUGGGCCUCGCCCGGCGUUGGAGCACUACGGGAAGCCCUGUGCUGUCCCCCGUAGGCCCCGAAAUGAAGUGGCGGUCCUGCCGCGGCGCCCCCUGCGUAGUAUAACAGCUCGCUUCGGGACCCGGUGGAGGCCUGCCGUCAAACCUAUACUCUCUAAGUUUGACCUCGGAUCAGGUAGGGUUACCCGCUGAACUUAAGCAUAUCAAUAAGCGGAAGA